Long non-coding RNA from Antechinus flavipes (yellow-footed antechinus), 750 nucleotides. RefSeq lists it as uncharacterized. NCBI's taxonomy places the organism in Eukaryota, Metazoa, Chordata, Mammalia, Dasyuromorphia, Dasyuridae. The record is from RefSeq and is a predicted model, not a curated record. The transcript has 2 exons.
CAGACAGGCCUGUCCAAAACUUUUAAGCGUUUCUUUCUAUGGUUAUAAAUAAAUAAUCCUUCUUCUCUUUGACAGGAUUUUUUUUUUAACCACAACUGCUUUUCAUUAAUUUUUCAAGUGGAAAUAUAUUUCCCCUAGUGGAAAGUUGCCUCUCCUGUGAUGAGAGUCAUUGCUCAUUUUAAUAUUUUUACUGGGGAAGAACCAAAGCCCAAAUCCGCCAGGAGCAGCAGCCAAAAUCCUUUUGUGUAAGGAACCAGUAGUAAUCCUCAUGGUACUUAGGAGUUCGAAACAUGGAAACUUUGAAGUCAAGAAGUAAAUGAUAUGGUGCCUACAGCCAGCCCAUCAUGGAAGCCCUAUGAACUGAAGAUGUUUGGGUGGAACCUCAUGAGAUUUGGAAAUGUACUGUGCUCUAUAGCAAAGCUUCCUAAAUUGUGGAUCAUAACCCCAUGUGGGGUCACGUAACUGAAUGUAGGGGUUGUAAAAUUAUGAUUUAUUAUCAGUAAGCAUUUGAUUUAUAUUCCUAUUUUAUAUAUUUAUAAAUCUGGGGCUGUGUAAAAAUUUUUCUGGAGCAAAAGGAAAAGGUUUAAGAAGCCCUGGUCUAUAGGAACUGAGCUAAACUACAAACCUAAUCCCUUUCCCCUCCACAGAGACUAAUAUGGGGGUGGGGAGGAUUAUGUCUUCCUUUAUGUUGAUAGAGUAAGUUUGUAUAUUUGAAUAUUUCUUAUGAAAUAAAUAUUCCUUUGUAAAGAA